GGGGCGAAUGGGUUCUGGUUUAAGGGAUCUUGGGAGAAAGGUAACGGCACUUAUUCUUUCCUUGCUUUUCUCCAGAAAGGGAUUUCUAGACUUGGGCAUGGAGAGAAAAGGCAUGGGGCAGAGAAAGUCUCCUUCAGGCGGCUAAUUUUGGACCUGGCCUCUGGAACCUGGUCUUAGCCUGGACUAAGAGGCCUUCACCUUUUUUUCUGCUCCAUGUCAGCAGCCUCUAGCCCCCACCCAAAGGCUGUCAGCGCCUCUGAUCUCACUCUCAGCCCUGCCUUUGACCCUCACCCCGGUGGAAGCCCCAGGAGCCAAAGGGAGCCAAAAGACAGGGAUAAAGCCGAAGGGGAGAGAAAUAUAUAGUUUUUUUCUCCACUGUCUCCCCCAUAUACAAGAAAGAAAAUAAAAGUAAUUACUGUUGACAAUGGGGAGGAAGAACUGCCCAUAAAUGAAGAAGUUGGGAGGAUGGGAAGGGAGAGUAAGAAGAGAGUAUCCCUUUUGCUUGCCUCCCCCUGCCCCCAGCCUAGAGUGGAAACGGAGGCUUGAAGCCCCCAGGGUGGUUAGGUGUACCUCCUCGAUCAAAUGAUCAGACUUUGAGCUGUCUGAACUGAGAUGAUCAAGGUCUUCUGAUCCCUGCAAAGAUGGCUCCCGGAUUGGAGGGGGGCGGGGAUGGGGAAAUCUCUUCCAGGGAAAACUGGCCCGGCUCUAUGACCCUUCUAAUGUCUGCUCCUCAGAGAGCCUCUCAAUCCCAGCGAGCAACGAAAAUGGGUCCCAAUGCCCAGAAAUUCCAGGCCGUUGGUUCUUUUUGGUUUUAUUCUCGAAAGGGAAAGGCCCGAUGGGGGCAGGGGAACAGCAAGUGUCGAAGAGGCCGGAAUUUCGGACGAGCGGGGUGACAGAAGGGGAAAUUCCCGGAGCUUGGGCUCGGUCCUCUGGCUCCCCCUUGAAGAAGGUGACCCCGCAAAGCAGAAUUUCUUGUCUUCUCUGAGAUAGGAGGCCCCGAAGCUAACCCAAGAAAAGACAAGUUCCAUUUCUAACCAGCUUUUCUAUUGUUAAUAAGUUUAACCCCCCCAGUCCUCAGCGUAUUCAAAGUCCCCGUGUUCUGGGAAGCUUAGCCCAGACCCUUCACCGGAGGACAGAUUUGGAAUAGGCUAAUGGAGCAAGACAGGGAGAGGGCUAAGGGCUAAUCCAACUGGGGGCUCCCUGACCCCAACGGGGCCAGGCCAAGCAAGCCAGUAGAGGAGGAAGUAAGAGCGGCAAGUCAGAAUAGAGACCCAGGCCCCAGAUCUUCCGGGCCACUUGUCUGAUUUCUCUUUCGGGAGCAGGAAAAAAAAGAAGGGCAGUCAUAUAUCCAGGGAAGUGGGCAUCCUGCAGCUCUGGGGCUCUGUCCUUCAACUUUGUCUGUAAAGGUCAAGAUGGUUGAGAGAGCUAAGAUUCUUCCAUGGACGAUUAUCUGCAUAAGUGCAAAUGGGUGUGUGGCUAAUUUUUGGGGGACGGUAAGAAAUCUUGUGGGAUUGAUGAGCUUACACUCUUUAGAUUUGUGAUCUUCGACAGCAGUCUGGGGGCUUUCCAGGGAAGCAGUGCAAAGGAUCCCAGGUAUCCUGGAAUUUGGGGAAAAUUCUUACUAGAAUGGAUUUUGAGAUGCUAGUUGAGCACAGGCAAGACUGGAUUUUAGUUUAGUCUGGUUGGGGACAGCUUCUCUGCAUGCAGAAGGGAAAGAGUCUCCUCGGAGGUGUCCCCUGAGACCUGGGGGUAGUGGGGGGAGAGACCUCCAGUCUUGUUAUCAGCUCACUUUUAAGCAAAGAAGGAGACAGGUGACGGUAGCUGGUGAAAAGGAAGCUGGGGAGAAAAUUUUGGACGCAGGUGGGGCAAACACCCCACGUGUUUUCCAUCCUCCACAAUACCAAAAUUCAUUGUGGUGCCCCCUUCCCUUCCCCCCCCGUUCUGGGCGACUUGGGUGGGAGUGAGGAAGUAGAGUGAAAAACGGGUGAAGAGUUGUAGUUUUUCCGACACCAAAAAAGCUUAAUUGUGGUUUUCAAAGAGUCCUUGAGAUUCAGGAGCCCACCCGGCUGGCUGGAGACCACCGGUAUCCCCGCAGGAUUCCCCUAACUUUCCUGGUCUCUUUUCCCCUAUUUCUGCUCCCUCUCCUCCUUCUCUUGGAGAACAGCCCCCAACGAAUCUUUAUAUCUGUGGUGGCCGCAAAAACCUGCCGUAGGAAGAAAAAAACCCCCAAAAAACAACCCGGAUAGGUUUCGUUGACCUGCUUAAUGCAAACUAAAACCAGUUUUCGAUUGGCGAGUUCCAGAGGACGAGGGCUUCAGCCGGGCCCCAGCACCUUCCCGAAAGAUAAUUGGCCCACCUGCUAUGGGACCUGGAGACCUCCUGCUUACCGCGGUCUACAAGAGCUUUGUAACAGUAAUUUCUGCCCAAAGGAGACUUAAAACAAAAAACAAAAAACAAAAAUCCAAAACGAGUAAAAACUAAAAUGAGCAUUUCUGGCAGAACCCAGUCUGGCUCUGCCCGACAUCAGCUGCCCGAGGAUCUGAAGAUUUGGCUUUUAAGGGUAAUCACCAGUAAGUAACUGGUAAAGCUCUUUGCUGCGUCUCCUCGCGAUGCAAAGUGGUCCCAGUAGCCGGAAGGGAAGGGAAGGAGAGGACAGGACAGGACAGAAAAGAAAUAGGAGUCAGCUUCUCUUCUUUCUCAGAGUGGGGGUCAAGGGGAGGGGGUGAACAGCCUGGUCGAAUCUUGGCGAGACGGCCUUGAGCUUCAGCAGCUUUGCCCUUUUAAUUAGCGCCAACUACCUUCUAUCCGCAGCCCUCGGGCUCCGGUGCUCUUCCCCCUCACCCCGGACUUUUUAGAUGUACCAACUCCAUCCCGGGGCCAGGGUUGGGGUCUUCAAGCCUCGAAGAUCCCAAGACCCAGAGGGACAGAGAAAGGAGCCGUGGUCCCGGCGGGCGGGACCUUCUUGGCCACGCACCGAGGUAACAAGGUUGUAUAAAUCGUUGCUUACCCUCCCACCUCCCUCCUUUUGCAUGUCUUUAAGAGUCACUGGAACCUGAGUGGAGAGGUUUGGCAAUUGCCAUCUUUAUAGAGACCGAGGUGGAAGUGGUGGUGGUGAAGGUGGGGGAUCAGAGACAUUUCUGCCUUCCAAGGAUUUAGGGGCUUCGCGCUGGAUUGGGAACUCCGAAACCAAAAAGAAGGGAAAGGAUGACCCAGCUGAUUUUAGACCCGGGGAAGAGCUGUGCUAAUUCACUCGCUGGACUUCACCUGCAGUCUGUGCAAGGAGAGAUCGGAGUGAGAUCCGUCUUACUCAGUCUACACUCGGACAAAGGCGUCUCGGAUGGCGCCUGCUGCCCUCACUAGAUUUUCCGGUUCCCCUCGGGCUGCCUCAGAACGUGGUGUGGGGACGGGGGCAGGUGUGAGCCAGAGGGACAUCGCGCUCUCCCAGGUAGCUCUCCGGGCCGAAGCUGUUGGCCGGCACGUGGCAGGAGCUUUCUUCUGGGAGUCGAGCCGAGUGCAGGCUCCUUCUGCGACUCCCUGGGUCAGCCCCUGGCCAAAGGCCGCCACUCUAAAGCCUGUCAGACGGCUCCAAGUUCGGGGACCAGCCAGCCAGUGUGCAGAGGAACUCGCGGGUCCCAGGAGCCUGGCGGGCUCUAUCUCCCAUGGGGGGUAGGAAUGAGCACCGUUGCUUUUGACAUUCACUCUCCUGGUGGGGAUUGUAAAGCUCAGACGCUCCUCCCCUCCCCCCAAGACUGGACGCCCCGUCGGGGCUUCGCAGGGCCGGAUUUCUCUUGGCCCAGUGCAAAUUGUAUCGAGCUGACAAACUGACUAGUCACGAACGGAAUUUAGGGAGAUGAAAACGGAAAGUUGGACCCCUUAUCCCACUUGAGACUUGAUAAUGAUGGUGAUGAUGAUGAUGAUGAUGAUGAUGUUAAGCUCUGCCAGCCUGGCUGGUUAGAAUGAGCCAGCAGCUGAGGGAAGCAAUAAAGGGAGAGGAAAUUUCUGCUCUGCA
Sarcophilus harrisii (Tasmanian devil) is the source of this 4009-nucleotide long non-coding RNA. RefSeq lists it as uncharacterized. NCBI's taxonomy places the organism in Eukaryota, Metazoa, Chordata, Mammalia, Dasyuromorphia, Dasyuridae. The transcript is spliced from 2 exons. The record is from RefSeq and is a predicted model, not a curated record.